UACGUAGGUGGCAAGCGUUGUCCGGAAUUAUUGGGCGUAAAGCGCGCGCAGGCGGUCCCUUAAGUCUGAUGUGAAAGCCCACGGCUCAACCGUGGAGGGUCAUUGGAAACUGGGGGACUUGAGUGCAGAAGAGGAAAGCGGAAUUCCACGUGUAGCGGUGAAAUGCGUAGAGAUGUGGAGGAGCACCAGUGGCGAAGGCGGCUUUCUGGUCUGUAACUGACGCUGAGGCGCGAAAGCGUGGGGAGCAAACAGG
RNAcentral lists this ribosomal RNA (253 nucleotides) under uncultured bacterium. RNAcentral's name for it is "partial 16S ribosomal RNA". It matches the Rfam family "Bacterial small subunit ribosomal RNA", at positions 524 to 776 of the family's 1533-position model. The record is from RNAcentral.